This 440-nucleotide ribosomal RNA is filed under the name Klebsiella pneumoniae. Its description in RNAcentral is "partial 23S ribosomal RNA". It matches the Rfam family "Bacterial large subunit ribosomal RNA", at positions 2318 to 2757 of the family's 2925-position model. Lineage: Bacteria; Pseudomonadati; Pseudomonadota; Gammaproteobacteria; Enterobacterales; Enterobacteriaceae. The record is from RNAcentral.
UAGCUAAUCCUGGUCGGACAUCAGGAGGUUAGUGCAAUGGCAUAAGCUAGCUUGACUGCGAGCGUGACGGCGCGAGCAGGUGCGAAAGCAGGUCAUAGUGAUCCGGUGGUUCUGAAUGGAAGGGCCAUCGCUCAACGGAUAAAAGGUACUCCGGGGAUAACAGGCUGAUACCGCCCAAGAGUUCAUAUCGACGGCGGUGUUUGGCACCUCGAUGUCGGCUCAUCACAUCCUGGGGCUGAAGUAGGUCCCAAGGGUAUGGCUGUUCGCCAUUUAAAGUGGUACGCGAGCUGGGUUUAGAACGUCGUGAGACAGUUCGGUCCCUAUCUGCCGUGGGCGCUGGAGAAUUGAGGGGGGCUGCUCCUAGUACGAGAGGACCGGAGUGGACGCAUCACUGGUGUUCGGGUUGUCAUGCCAAUGGCACUGCCCGGUAGCUAAAUGCG